This 16-nucleotide small RNA is filed under the name Arabidopsis thaliana (thale cress). RNAcentral describes it as "ATSL119570". Lineage: Eukaryota; Viridiplantae; Streptophyta; Magnoliopsida; Brassicales; Brassicaceae. The record is from RNAcentral.
AGAGGAUAAAAAAAAU